This 92-nucleotide signal recognition particle RNA is filed under the name Deltaproteobacteria bacterium. RNAcentral describes it as "signal recognition particle sRNA small type". It matches the Rfam family "Bacterial small signal recognition particle RNA". From Rfam's summary of the family: The signal recognition particle (SRP) is a universally conserved ribonucleoprotein involved in the co-translational targeting of proteins to membranes. Archaeal SRP consists of a 7S RNA and homologues of the eukaryotic SRP19 and SRP54 proteins. The record is from RNAcentral. Lineage: Bacteria; Pseudomonadati; Myxococcota; Myxococcia.
GGUUGGGGCCCGGCAAUGGCGAUUUUGUGAAUCCGCCAGGUCCGGGAGGAAGCAACGGUAGCAUGGUUUUCAUGUGCCGGGUCCUGGCCUUC